Fukomys damarensis (Damara mole-rat) is the source of this 294-nucleotide unclassified non-coding RNA. Its record names the gene 7SK. It matches the Rfam family "7SK RNA". From Rfam's summary of the family: 7SK was discovered as an abundant small nuclear RNA in the mid-70s but a possible function has only recently been suggested. The record is from Ensembl. NCBI's taxonomy places the organism in Eukaryota, Metazoa, Chordata, Mammalia, Rodentia, Bathyergidae.
GGACUGGGAGGAUGUGACAUCGGUCAUCCCACUGAUUGCCAGGGCUGCUUCGGCCGAUCUGGCUGGGGGCCAGGUCCCCCUUCCUCCUACCGCUCCACAUGCGCCCCUCCCAAAGCUGUGCUGUCGGUGGAAGAGGACGAGCACCCCGAUAGAGGAGGACCUCGUCCUCCGUCAAGGGUGUACGAGGGGCUGUGCUCCCGUGCUAGAUCCUCCAAAGAAGCUCUCAGCGGGCCUGGGACACCCAAGCCCAGCACAGCCCUAGGCCUGGCAUAAACAGAAACUUGGCUCGUCCCU